GAUGAACGCUGGCGGCGUGCCUAAUACAUGCAAGUCGAGCGAACAGAUGAGGAGCUUGCUCCUCUGACGUUAGCGGCGGACGGGUGAGUAACACGUGGAUAACCUACCUAUAAGACUGGGAUAACUUCGGGAAACCGGAGCUAAUACCGGAUAAUAUAUUGAACCGCAUGGUUCAAUAGUGAAAGACGGUUUUGCUGUCACUUAUAGAUGGAUCCGCGCCGCAUUAGCUAGUUGGUAAGGUAACGGCUUACCAAGGCGACGAUGCGUAGCCGACCUGAGAGGGUGAUCGGCCACACUGGAACUGAGCCACGGUCCAGACUCCUACGGGAGGCACCAGUAGGGAAUCUUCCGCAAUGGGCGAAGGCCUGACGGAGCAACGCCGCGUGAGUGAUGAAGGUCUUCGGAUCGUAAAACUCUGUUAUUAGGGAAGAACAAAUGUGUAAGUAACUAUGCACGUCUUGACGGUACCUAAUCAGAAAGCCACGGCUAACUACGUG
RNAcentral lists this ribosomal RNA (497 nucleotides) under uncultured bacterium. RNAcentral describes it as "partial 16S ribosomal RNA". It matches the Rfam family "Bacterial small subunit ribosomal RNA", at positions 28 to 507 of the family's 1533-position model. The record is from RNAcentral.